AAGAACAAUAUGUGGAUCCAGAUAAAAGACCUCCUUUUGAUAUUAUGAUGAAUUUGAUUUGGUGACUCCUUGAUACCAAAAGUGAGGGGAACAAACUUUGAAACUAAGAAAGGUAUGAACGAGAAAAUGGAAGCGGAAAAUAGGAUUGAAGUAAAAGGAUAAGUAUUUAGAGAACUUACUAAAUUACAGACACUUCUUACUUUUAGAACUUGCCUGAGUAAGGCUCAAGUUAGGCUUAAAUGCCUUGCAAAGGCUCCUCAGCUCGUCUUAUAUAGAAGCAAGGAGAAAGCCUCGGGUGCUCAAUGAGCCCCAUCGGCAGGAUUUAACUUUAUCUGAUAAGAUCGAGUAUGAGGUGUCUUUAUUUAAAGAAGGAUAUUAUUCCUUCUGUGACAUGACUAAAGAAAGAUUUGAUUCCUUCUUUUACAAAGCACACAAAUGCCUAUCCUUUUGUAACUUUUGCAAAGAUGCUGCUUUCAAGAGAUCAUUAAAAGGCCUAUCCUUUUGUAGUCAAAUACCUAUCCCAGGGUAUUACAAAGGAUCAGGAUCGGGCACAAAGAAGUAUGACUUACGAAGAAGCAGAACUUAUAAAGGAAAGCCACAUGAUACACAUGCAAGGGUGGAAAAACGUAAGCAUUUAUUAAAAAAUAAAAAAAAACAAAUGUUAUCUUUGUGGACAGGAAGGACAUUUUGCACGAGAUUGUUCGAACAACAAAAGAAGCAGUAAAAGGGUUGCUAUGUUUGAGCAACUUGAUAUUCCCGAUGACUGAGAAAUUCUCUCUGUCCAAGAAGGUGAAAACCUUAGUGAUGCUAUCUACAACAUUUCAGAGGGGGAGGAAACAAAUGAUCUACAAAGGUCAAUACAAACGUUAAUACUCUCUGGAAAUAUUUUUAUGCUGGGACAAAUAGAUGGUGGUUAUCGACCACAGAUUAAAGUGACAGAUCAGCAGUAUGAGUGUGCCCAUCAAUGGAUAGCCAAUGUGGACACUUAUCCCCCGCAACCUAUUAAAUGCACAGGAUGCCAAAGGGACACACAGAAGAGGGCACGGAUUCAUUGCCCAAAUUGUUUAAUAACUGCAUGCAAUUUAUGCGGCCCAUAUUAUUUUGGGCAAAAGGAACAACAGAAAUACAUUUCCUGGUGUGAAUCUGAAAUAGAAAGGCUAAAGCAGGAAGUUUCUUAUUAUAAGAAUCUGUAUAAAGAACUUAAUCUAGAACGGGAUCUUCAACGUGAUUUUGAAAAUCUUGCCACUACACACUUUGAAGAAGAAGGAGAUGAAGAAAAUGAUUUGGUCACUUCUUCACAACUUGCUCAUGUGCUCUAUACAGAGGCAACUGAAAGAGUUUCUUUAACUCAAGGAAGUCCAAGUCCCCGACUUGUCAAAAUUCUAUUAUAUAAUCUUCAGGUGGAAAUUGAUAUUCCAGGUAUCCCAAAAUUUAUUUUAAGGGAAAUUUUAGAUACUGGAGCUACUACCUGUUGUGUAGAUCAACAUUCGGUACCAAGCAAAGCAUUAGAAGAAAAUUCUUUUCUAGUACACUUCUCCGACAUUAAUUCACAGCAAACAGCAAAGUUGAAGUUGAAACCAGGGAAAAUGACAAUUGGUGAUAAUAAUUUCCGAAUGCCAUACACCUACAGUUUCCCUAUGAUCUUGGGAGACAAAAUUCAGAUGAUUAUCGGCUGCAAUUUUAUUCGAGCAAUGAAUGGAGGAGUACGUAUAGAAGAAUGGCCGGAAGCAAUUCUCAAUGGUCUGGGGUUAAUCCCCCAGGCUCUACAGGAAAUCCAACAAACACCAACACCGAAGGCGGAGGAGAGUCUCUCGGAGGCAUUCAACAGCCUUUCUCAUUGGUUGAGCAAUACCAGCAGAACCUCAAGUCAAAAUCAUACCCUAUCAGCCUUGAAGCUGAUGACAAACGACGAGAAGAACUUCACCAAAUACAACAGCAAUUGGCAGUACAAGCACAAAAUGCACUCCAAUGUCUACGUAUAGUACACAUGCUCAAGGUACGGGAGUGUCAAUCUCUUAGUACAAAGGAUAACUGGUGGCAUGAUUGGUUACCAGCUACAAGACAAAUUGAUCAACAACUGGAGCAGAUAGCGUAUCUACUAAGUGAUGCGGUCCGACGCAUGUCUAAUUUCAAAAUCUAAGUGUGCUGUAACGGAAGGAAUCAAAUCCUUCUUUAGUCAUGUCAAUAGACCUAAGUGUGAUGUGUGCUUUGUAAAGGAAGGAAUCAAAUCCUUCUUUAGUCAUGUCAAUAGACCUAAGUGUGAUGUGUGCUUUGUAAAGGAAGGAAUCAAAUCCUUCUUUAGUCAUGUCAAUAGACCUGAGUGUACUGUGUGCUUUGUAAAAGAAGGAAUCAAAUCCUUCUUUAGUCAUGUCACAGAAGGAAUAAUAUCCUUCUUUAAAUAAAGACAUCUCAUACUCGAUCUUAUCAGAUAAGGUGAAAUCCUGCCGAUGAGGCCCACUGAGCACCCGAGGCUUUCUCCUUUCUUCUAUAUAAUACAAGUUCAGGAGCCUUUGCAAGGCAUUCAAGCCUAACUUGAGCCUUACUCGGGCAAGUUCUAGAAGUAAGAAGUGUCUGUAAUUUAGAGGGGUCGAGGACGUUCACAAGCCCUGAAACAGGUUACCUCAGCAACCGUCGCCCCUCUGAAAGGCCCUGGAGUCCCUAAGCGGAAAGCGAUGAGUAA
RNA transcript from Zingiber officinale, 2680 nucleotides. RefSeq lists it as uncharacterized. The record is from RefSeq and is a predicted model, not a curated record. The transcript is spliced from 6 exons. NCBI's taxonomy places the organism in Eukaryota, Viridiplantae, Streptophyta, Magnoliopsida, Zingiberales, Zingiberaceae.